Molecule: long non-coding RNA, 970 nt
Organism: Pogonomyrmex barbatus (red harvester ant)
Lineage: Eukaryota; Metazoa; Arthropoda; Insecta; Hymenoptera; Formicidae
Source: RefSeq, a predicted model, not a curated record
CUCUCUCUUUGCCCGCACGGUUCGCGGUGCCAUCCUCGAGAUAUGUUUCCUCCUUCCCCUCAACCUAUCCCAUCCCGUCCCCUCCGCGUCUCACUCCCGUUGACAUUUUCGGUCGUGUUCGCGUCAGUUCGCACUCUGUGCCACUCGGUGCGUUUGGCGCUGCUCGAUGCAACGGCGUACGACGGAUGAAGCGUUGGUUGUGUAGCGUAUCACAGAGUAGCAACGGUUUCGAAUAAAUUGCACCAAGAAUUUCGAGUUUGUUACGCAUCGCCUCACACGCGAUUUAGCCCCAUAUGUGACCAUCGCUAAAACUAGAUAUAUACUAUUGUGUCAAAUAUAGAGGAUCGUAUGAUACGAGUGUUGAACUCGAUAAUACCGGAGAUAUAACGCAUUUGAUUCAAACAUCGACAUAUCUCUAUUUUAUAUAUUUUUAAACACCGAGGGUAUUGAUGACUCAUCAUAUCCAACGUCGAUGAGAAAUGUAUGCUUCUUUGGAAUUAUGGUCCACUGGUGUUCACGCCGAUGGAGUGACCAAUGAAUGUAGGUUUACGGGAAGCACGCAUUUUGCAGGAAUGCUUUCAUCUUUCAUUGAAUCUGUUUUCCAAAAUGCAUCAAGCAAAGACUAGUGUAAUCUUGUGGCCAUGAUUCGAGUUGUUUAAAUAAAAGCUUGUCCAUAAUAUAAUCGAAUGAUGGAGAAUCGAUAGAUAUGCGCAAGUUAUGUUAUUAGCAAUCUUCAAUGAAAUUAAAUACAACAAGAACGUACAUACUCAAUACACAGACAAGUUAGGGCCAUGGCACACGAGAAAAUUUAAGCAAUAAAGCGAUUUUCAGUGCUGGCAGUGAAUAUUGGAACGCAGCCUGAAUAUUGUGGAUUGUUCAUGGUUGUAAAAGAAAGAAGAAACACGUUGUUCGUGUACGUUUUAAAUAACACGUUGUUUUGUUUUAAAAAUUCUAUUUUUAAAAAUAAGCA